AAUUAUCAGGGAACUGAACUAGAAAGUGACUCAUUAGUUACAGUGUGGCUUCUCAAGAAGACUCAUUCCAGAUUUCAUGCUACUUACACAUCAGGCCUCCUCCCUGCCACCCCCUGCACGCUUACAUACUGUUAGCAGUCAGGGCUUCCUUUCUUCUUCCUUUUGAAAGUACUUCUAAUGCUAGUAGUUCAGCGGGCAGUGAAGUGCUGCACGGUCCUGCCUCUAGAGAGGGGCAGCAGCUAAGUGUUCCCUUCUCCUUGUGGGAGCCGAGUGAACCUUUAGACCCUUUAGAUGCCAUCUCAUCAGGAAGCUAGAGAGAAGGACAAUGCACCAACUCAGUAAUGGAGAGUUCCCAUGUCUCACUAGUGCUCAGGAGCCUUUAAGAGACCAAAGGUAACUUGGCCAGGGCUCUCCUUUCCUCAGUAGUUCAUUAUCCAAUGGUGCCCUCGUCCUCUCUAACAUGCUUCAAAGUGCAUAAGAUUGUUGUGCUGGGUACUUUCAGUUCCUGGUAAUGUCAUGGUAGCAUUUCCCAUUUCUGUCCUGGUAUAAUGUAUAACAAUAGAUUUUGUUGAAGUGUAAUUCUAUAAAGAAAUAAAAAUAUUUGAGAUGUAUCGUCACU
Molecule: long non-coding RNA, 619 nt
Filed under: Rattus norvegicus (Norway rat)
Lineage: Eukaryota; Metazoa; Chordata; Mammalia; Rodentia; Muridae
Description: long non-coding RNA NONRATT008630
Source: RNAcentral